GGGGAAUAUUGCACAAUGGGCGAAAGCCUGAUGCAGCAACGCCGCGUGAGGGAUGACGGCCUUCGGGUUGUAAACCUCUUUUAGUAGGGAAGAAGCGUAAGUGACGGUACCUGCAGAAAAAGCACCGGCUAACUACGUGCCAGCAGCCGCGGUAAUACGUAGGGUGCAAGCGUUGUCCGGAAUUAUUGGGCGUAAAGAGCUCGUAGGCGGCUUGUCGCGUCUGCUGUGAAAACCCGGAGCUCAACUCCGGGCCUGCAGUGGGUACGGGCAGGCUAGAGUGCAGUAGGGGAGAUUGGAAUUCCUGGUGUAGCGGUGGAAUGCGCAGAUAUCAGGAGGAACACCGACGGCGAAGGCAGGUCUCUGGGCCACUACUGACGCUGAGAAGCGAAAGCGUGGGGAGCGAAC
RNAcentral lists this ribosomal RNA (405 nucleotides) under uncultured bacterium. Its description in RNAcentral is "bacterial SSU rRNA". It matches the Rfam family "Bacterial small subunit ribosomal RNA", at positions 356 to 773 of the family's 1533-position model. The record is from RNAcentral.